UACAUGAAGCUGGAAUCGCUAGUAAUCGCGGAUCAGAAUGCCGCGGUGAAUACGUUCCCGGGUCUUGUACACACCGCCCGUCACACCAUGGGAGUCGGAAAUGCCCGAAGUCUGUGACCCAACCUUAGGGAGGGAGCAGCCGAAGGCAGGUCGGAUGACUGGGGUGAAGUCGUAACAAGGUAGC
Molecule: ribosomal RNA, 184 nt
Filed under: uncultured bacterium
Lineage: Bacteria
Description: partial 16S ribosomal RNA
Rfam family: Bacterial small subunit ribosomal RNA
Source: RNAcentral